UAAUCUCGGUGCAAAGUGAUGCUUUGGUCAGAAAUCAUUUUGUGACUUUAAAGAAUUUGAUGAGUUAGGUCAGAGUGCGCAGCGGAAGUGUAGUGGUUUGAGUUAUUUUGAAACCGAUUAGAAAAAAAAAUAAUAAUGAUAAUACCUUGAUCUGAAGGGUAUUAUUAUAGAAGACUUGAGUUAGUUUUCUAGUAGAGGGGAAUGUCGUUGAUUCUUUGCCUACUGGAAGUAGUUAUGGGCUCUCCUAUUUUUGAUAAUUCUAAGAAGAAUUUUGGGGCAUCUCAAAUUUAACGUUAACGG
Molecule: long non-coding RNA, 300 nt
Filed under: Phoenix dactylifera (date palm)
Lineage: Eukaryota; Viridiplantae; Streptophyta; Magnoliopsida; Arecales; Arecaceae
Description: long non-coding RNA (PDAC_LNC007614)
Source: RNAcentral